AUUGAACGCUGGCGGCAGGCCUAACACAUGCAAGUCGAACGAGUGGCGGACGGGUGAGUAAUGUCUGGGAAACUGCCUGAUGGAGGGGGAUAACUACUGGAAACGGUAGCUAAUACCGCAUACCAUCGGAUGUGCCCAGAUGGGAUUAGCUAGUCGGUGGGGUAACGGCUCACCGAGGCGACGAUCCCUAGCUGGUCUGAGAGGGUGACCAGCCACACUGGAACUGAGACACGGCCCAGACUCCUACGGGAGGCAGCAGUGGGGAAUAUUGCGCAAUGGGCGAAAGUCUGAUGCAGCCAUGCCGCGUGUAUGAAGAAGGUCUUCGGGUUGUAAAGUACUUUCAGUGGGGAAGCGUUACCUGACCAGGAAGCAACGGCUAACUCCGUGCCAGCAGCCGCGGUAAUAC
Molecule: ribosomal RNA, 406 nt
Filed under: uncultured bacterium
Lineage: Bacteria
Description: partial 16S ribosomal RNA
Rfam family: Bacterial small subunit ribosomal RNA
Source: RNAcentral